AAGCAGCUAUGUACUGUUUUGUAAAUAUGAACUAUGUGGGAGGAUCUGCAGGAGAGGAAACUGAGACAUCAGAGAAUUCCCCAUGACUUGCUUAAACAAAAUGUCUUCCAGAAGCUGUCCAGAAGAGGCUGGUAUGGCACAGAUGGUAUGGCAGUGCCAGGUUCAUAAACCUGGGGCCUAGAAGG
Gavialis gangeticus (Gharial) is the source of this 185-nucleotide long non-coding RNA. RefSeq lists it as uncharacterized. The record is from RefSeq and is a predicted model, not a curated record. The transcript has 3 exons. NCBI's taxonomy places the organism in Eukaryota, Metazoa, Chordata, Crocodylia, Gavialidae.